CCUGUGUGAUCUUGGACAAAUCAUCUAAGUUUGUUAAGCCCCAUUUUUCUCAUCUGUAAAGUGAAGGGGCUUUACUAAAUGACCUCUAAGCCCUCUUCCAACAUGCCCCCAACCAAUGUUGCUCUGUUUCUCUUUGAUCCUUUUCUCUUCCUGUGGUCCCCACACCAUUCUGUCUUGGGCCCUAUGAAUCUCUUUGAGUAGACCUGGCUUUUCAUCUCCUCUCUCUUUCUCAGGGCCCUGCUGGUCGUCCUGGUGUCCCUGGAGUGGAUGGUAUCCGAGGCCUCCCUGGAACUGUGAUUAUGAUGCCUUUCCAAUUUAGGGGUGAUUCCCUCAAAGGUCCCCCAAGUUCAUUCCAACAGGCACAGGCACGAGCAGUGCUACAGCAAGCCCAGGUGGGAGCCUACGUGGCUAAUGAGAGGCUUAUGGGAGGAAUAAGGGCUCAAGGAGUUCCAUAAGAGAUAAAGAAGCUUUUGUGGAGCUAGUGGGGGCUCAUAAAAAUUUAACUGGGGUAAAUGAGGGGCCUUAGUGGGUAGGGGAGGGUACGAGUGGAUAAUUAAGCAUUCAUGGGGAUACUAGAUGGGGAUAUGACUGGAGAAGGUAAUGGGGUGACAUGGCGAAGGAAGGGAUG
Molecule: long non-coding RNA, 628 nt
Filed under: Phascolarctos cinereus (koala)
Lineage: Eukaryota; Metazoa; Chordata; Mammalia; Diprotodontia; Phascolarctidae
Description: lncRNA (ENSPCIG00000031346.1)
Source: RNAcentral